Homo sapiens (human) is the source of this 720-nucleotide long non-coding RNA. Ensembl annotates it as deleted in lymphocytic leukemia 1. Its record names the gene DLEU1. Lineage: Eukaryota; Metazoa; Chordata; Mammalia; Primates; Hominidae. The record is from Ensembl.
GAGUGGGGUUUAAUCUGGACUGAAUUGGAGGAAAGGAACUGGCACCAGAGUGGAGGCUGGAAGGAUGGUGGAACUGACACUGGGACAGAACACAGAAAACAGAAUCUAAUGCUAUUGCUCUGGCUAUAUCAAAUAAAAGUGUCAAGAGUGAGCAUCCUUGCCUUGUGCUGAAUCACAAAGGAAUACCUUUCAGUUUUUCUCCAUUGAUUAUGAUAGCAGUGGGCUUUUCACAGUGGGCUUUACUGUGUUGAGGUACCCUAAUGACAAGUUCACCCCAGUGUUUUCUGAGGAGUCUACCUGGAAAUGAGAACCAUCUGUCCUUCCUAUAGUAGUUCUUCUCAGAAUGCCGACUCUAUGCUAAUGAACUUAUGAUCUGGUGGAAGGACAUGAUAACUAAUCAAAUAAUCACAAAUAUGUAUUUCAGAGAAAUGAGGGGCAAAUGCACUAGCUGCCCUAUGUAAGCUCUAAGUCUCAUCAUUUCGGGGAUCCUCUCCUGUGAUGCAGCUUUGCUAGAAAGAACUAAUAUUUGUAUUUUUUUGCACCAUCUGUUCUGCUGUAUCGUGGUAGAAGUCAUGUAGGUUCAUAUGAGAUCUUUCUUCCAAGCACCUUAAUGUUUUGAAGAGAUAAAAGCAAGAAGCAAGCUUUCUUACAAUUCAUGAAAAAGCCCAAUCAAUAUGCCUCAAGAAACAAAGCUGAUGUAUAAUAAAAAUUAUUAUCCCA